This 1390-nucleotide ribosomal RNA is filed under the name metagenome. Its description in RNAcentral is "bacterial LSU rRNA". It matches the Rfam family "Bacterial large subunit ribosomal RNA", at positions 1516 to 2925 of the family's 2925-position model. The record is from RNAcentral.
CUGAGGUAGGAGAAGAGUUGGCAAAUCCGCUCUUUAAUCUGAAGACGUGAUGUGGACUGAAAAUAAGUAGGGAAGCACGUGAGCUGACUGUCAAGAAAAGCCGCUAUUGUUUGCAGGAUACCCGUACCGUAAACCGACACAGGUGGAUGAGGAGAGAAUCCUAAGGCCGACGGGAGAAGCAUUGUUAAGGAACUCGGCAAAAUGACUCCGUAACUUCGGGAGAAGGAGUGCCAGUAAGAUGGCCGCAGAGAAUUGGCCCAAGCAACUGUUUAGCAAAAACACAGGUCUAUGCAAAACCGAAAGGUGAGGUAUAUGGGCUGACGCCUGCCCGGUGCUGGAAGGUUAAGGGGAGAGGUUAGCGCAAGCGAAGCUUUGAACUUAAGCCCCAGUAAACGGCGGCCGUAACAAUAACGGUCCUAAGGUAGCGAAAUUCCUUGUCGGGUAAGUUCCGACCCGCACGAAAGGCGUAAUGAUUUGGGCACUGUCUCAACAAUGCACCCGGUGAAAUUGAAAUACCAGUGAAGAUGCUGGUUACCUGCGCCAGGACGGAAAGACCCCAUGGAGCUUUACUCCAGCUUGAUACUGGGAUUCGGUAUUGCAUGUACAGGAUAGGUGGGAGGCUAGGAAAUGGUAACGCCAGUUGCCAUGGAGCCAAUGUUGGGAUACCACCCUUGCAGUACUGGGUUUCUAACCAGCAGCCGUGAUCCGGCUGGGGGACAAUGUCAGGUGGGAAGUUUGACUGGGGCGGUCGCCUCCGAAAGGGUAUCGGAGGCGCUCAAAGGUUCCCUCAGAAUGGUUGGAAACCAUUCGAAGAGUGCAAAGGCAGAAGGGAGCUUGACUGCGACACCGACGGGUGGAGCAGGUACGAAAGUAGGACUUAGUGAUCCGGUGGUAUAAAGUGGGAUUGCCAUCGCUCAACGGAUAAAAGCUACCCUGGGAUAACAGGCUUAUCACUCCCAAGAGUUCACAUCGACGGAGUGGUUUGGCACCUCGAUGUCGGCUCAUCGCAUCCUGGGGCUGAAGUAGGUCCCAAGGGUUGGGCUGUUCGCCCAUUAAAGCGGUACGCGAGCUGGGUUCAGAACGUCGUGAGACAGUUCGGUCCCUAUCCGGCGUGGGCGUAAGAUAUUUGAGAGGAGCUGUCCUUAGUACGAGAGGACCGGGAUGGACUGGCCGCUGGUGUAUCUGUUGUCUUACCAAAGGCAUAGCAGAGUAGCCAAGCCGGGAAGGGAUAAACGCUGAAGGCAUCUAAGCGUGAAGCCCCCCUCAAGAUGAGAUAUCUCAUAACGUCAAGUUAGUAAGACCCCUUGAAGACGACGAGGUAGAUAGGGCAGAGGUGGAAGUGUGGUAACACAUGGAGCUGACUGUUACUAAUAGGUCGAGGGCAUAACCG